AAAUAUAAAUCUACCUGUGACAUCUGUCACCCCAUUGAUUGCCAGGGUUAAUUUAGCUGAUCUGGCUGGCUGGGUGGGUGUCCCCUUCCUCCCUCACUGCUCCAUGUGUGUCCUUCAAGAAGCUAUGUGCUUACUGGAAGAGGACCUUUCGCCGAACAGAGACAGACUGGUUUUCGGUUGAGGGUAUACCAGUAGCUGCAAUCCCCUGCUAGAACAUCCAAACAAACUCUCAAGGUCCAUAAACAAAUAAAAUAUUUAAUAAAAAAAAACUGUACUGUAAACCAUUAAAACCCCAGUAAAAAU
Molecule: small nuclear RNA, 303 nt
Filed under: Erinaceus europaeus (western European hedgehog)
Lineage: Eukaryota; Metazoa; Chordata; Mammalia; Eulipotyphla; Erinaceidae
Description: 7SK RNA
Rfam family: 7SK RNA
About the family: 7SK was discovered as an abundant small nuclear RNA in the mid-70s but a possible function has only recently been suggested. Two independent studies have found that 7SK RNA binds the CDK9/cyclin T complex (known as elongation factor P-TEFb).
Source: Rfam by way of RNAcentral